RNAcentral lists this transfer RNA (83 nucleotides) under Aeriscardovia sp. Its description in RNAcentral is "tRNA-Gln". The record is from RNAcentral. Lineage: Bacteria; Bacillati; Actinomycetota; Actinomycetes; Bifidobacteriales; Bifidobacteriaceae.
AGGGGUGUGAUGAAAUUGGAUAAACAUAACGGGUUUUGAUCCCGUCGCCGAGAGGCUUGCGCGUUCGAGUCGCGCCACCCUUG